GCCACCAUCCAUGUAAGUCGUGACUUGUUCCUCCUUGCCUUCUGCCAUGAUUGUGAGGCCUCCCCAGCCAUGUGGAACUGUAAGGCCAUGAAACCUCUUUUUCUUCCCAGUCUCAGCUGCUGCAGGUUCUUCAGCUGAUGGCUCACACCUGCAUCUUCUCCAGAGCCUUCUCCUUGAAGCCGCCUGGACUGAAGUUAUCUAGGAGUUACACCCACCCCUCAAGGCCUGCGACCAGUGACUUAUUUGCCUCAAAGAGGGACUGCAAAACCCCACACCCUUGCCUCAAAGAGGGACUGACUCUGUGCAACUUACUCUCCCAGGCUUUGUCCCUGCAGAUCAGGUUGAAGCUAGACUCCCCAGAAUCACAUCUUUGCCUGGCUUCUCUUCUGACCUGUCCUGACCUAUCCAGCUUCUCUCUCUCACCACUUUCUCCUGGGAGUGCUUACAAAAGUGUGUGCACGAAUCCCUGACUAGGUAGGGACUGAGAAUACCUCCCAAGACAAAGCUGCCUACGGUUGGGGGAAAAAAAAAGAUGACAAGCAUUUACUGAGUACCCAGACCACGCCAGGCACUGUCUUGGGCACCAUCCUCACACCAACACUGAUGAGGAACUGGAGGCUCAGGGAGGAUCCCUGUACCCUGUCCAAGAUCACCCAACUGGUCAGCGGGGAAACGAAGACUCAAACCCAGGCAGAAAGUCCAUGCUCUUAACCCCCCACCAUGGCUGUCGGUGAGUCCACCCAUCUGCCAAUUCCCAGCCCUAGCAAGCAAUGUGGGCUGUGCUAAGACGAUGGCAAGGGUUACUGGGGAUAACUUCAAACUGAGUACAAGUGCACUGUUCCAGUGUAGAAAGGGCUAUCUUCUGAGGUGGCCAGCUCUGCCACUGCAGGUGUUCAAAAAGAAGCCAGUGGCCACUUCACAGGCCUAUUAUGGAGAGAGCUGUAGAACUGAGAGAAGAGUCAGCCUGUGUGACCCUCAUGAUGCCGAGCUCUUGUGAGUUCAGGUCCUUAGAACGUGUGCGCUCAGCUCAAGGUUAAAGAGUGGCAUUGUAAAUAGCUCAUUGCAGAGUAAUUUAUGUCAUCACCCAAAAGGAGA
RNAcentral lists this long non-coding RNA (1095 nucleotides) under Homo sapiens (human). Its description in RNAcentral is "HSALNT0223386". Lineage: Eukaryota; Metazoa; Chordata; Mammalia; Primates; Hominidae. The record is from RNAcentral.